This 1021-nucleotide long non-coding RNA is filed under the name Heterocephalus glaber (naked mole-rat). Its description in RNAcentral is "lncRNA (ENSHGLG00000039069.1)". Lineage: Eukaryota; Metazoa; Chordata; Mammalia; Rodentia; Bathyergidae. The record is from RNAcentral.
ACUUCCUUGACAACAUCUCCAAACAGAACUUGGAACCCUUGCUAACGGGUGUCACAAUCUAGUAACAGCCAUCUCCCAAGCUCACUUGGCUGCAGACUGUCAACGGUGAACAUGCUGAGCUGCUUCUCCACUUCGAGAGGCCACAGCCUCAGGACCCCAGGUAGAGAAAGUAUCUGUGAAAGAUUAAGAAGAUGGCUGACUCCAUCCAGAUGCCACAGGCCAUGCUGCAGCAGCCGCAGGACUGUCACAGACACCCCAGGGACUGGCUCCCUGGGAGUGACCAUCAGUGACCUACCAAAAUCAAGGUGUAUAUGUUGAUCACAUCUUGUAAAUGCAGAGAAGAGGAAGAGCCAGUGUUCAGGAUACAUCCGCCUUUGUUCUGGAAAAUAGGCUGAGUAUCAUCUGAGCUCCCAGGCAGAUGCAGAUGCCCUCACCCCUGGGCCCUCGUGGAAACACUACCACCUCAAUUGUUUGUCCCUGUCACAGGAUGGAAACAGCAAAUCCUUCGUGGGGAUAACGGUUCCAAGGAGCUGGGCUGCAGCUGCCUUCAAGGAGCACACAAGGUUCAAUUCUUGGGGAAAGGAGUAAAGACAACCACAUAAGGAUAAGAGACAAAGAGGGGUUUGUAUCCUACACCUUGGAGAAGAACAGGACUUGCACAGACAGAAGAGAGUCAGAGGGCAAAGCCUACAGCAGGCACAGCCUGAAUUUUCUGUACAGGAAAGGCAGGCCCAAGAACAUGCCAAGGAACCCUGAGCAGAAUCAGCCCCAGGACCAUGGCUACCCACUGGAAGCCAGCAGGAGCCAACGGGGAAGCUACCCAGGAGCAAACCGGAAGUCACCAGGAGCGAAGUGGAAGUUACCCAGGAGGAAGCAUCAGGGCCUGCUUUCUUUGAAGACGUGGGUUCUGAACAGUAGCAGUUGGCCACCCCUUGGCAGGCAGGGCUUCAGGGCCUGCCAGGGAUCAUAGUGAUCCCUCAUACUGGAAGUGGGGCCAAGUCUAGAACUCCACCAGAGGUGA